Molecule: ribosomal RNA, 497 nt
Filed under: uncultured bacterium
Lineage: Bacteria
Description: partial 16S ribosomal RNA
Rfam family: Bacterial small subunit ribosomal RNA
Source: RNAcentral
GACGAACGCUGGCGGCGUGCCUAAUACAUGCAAGUUGAGCGCUGAAGGUUGGUACUUGUACCAAUUGGAUGAGCAGCGAACGGGUGAGUAACGCGUGGGGAAUCUGCCUUUGAGCGGGGGACAACAUUUGGAAACGAAUGCUAAUACCGCAUAAAAACUUUAAACACAAGUUUUAAGUUUGAAAGAUGCAAUUGCAUCACUCAAAGAUGAUCCCGCGUUGUAUUAGCUAGUUGGUGAGGUAAAGGCUCACCAAGGCGAUGAUACAUAGCCGACCUGAGAGGGUGAUCGGCCACAUUGGGACUGAGACACGGCCCAAACUCCUACGGGAGGCAGCAGUAGGGAAUCUUCGGCAAUGGACGAAAGUCUGACCGAGCAACGCCGCGUGAGUGAAGAAGGUUUUCGGAUCGUAAAACUCUGUUGGUAGAGAAGAACGUUGGUGAGAGUGGAAAGCUCAUCAAGUGACGGUAACUACCCAGAAAGGGACGGCUAACUACGUG